This 468-nucleotide ribosomal RNA is filed under the name uncultured bacterium. RNAcentral describes it as "partial 16S ribosomal RNA". It matches the Rfam family "Bacterial small subunit ribosomal RNA", at positions 28 to 507 of the family's 1533-position model. The record is from RNAcentral.
GACGAACGCUGGCGGCGUGCUUAACACAUGCAAGUCGAACGGAAAGGCCCUGCUUUUGUGGGGUGCUCGAGUGGCGAACGGGUGAGUAACACGUGAGUAACCUGCCCUUGACUUUGGGAUAACUUCAGGAAACUGGGGCUAAUACCGGAUAUGAGCUCCUGCUGCAUGGUGGGGGUUGGAAAGUUUCGGCGGUUGGGGCUGGACUCGCAGCUUAUCAGCUUCUUGGUGGGGUAGUUGCUUACCAAGGCUUUGACGGGUAGCCGGCAUGAGAGGGUGACCGGCCACAAUGGGACUGAGAUAGGGCCCAGACGGCUACGGGAGGCAGCAGUGGGGAAUAUGGCACAAUGGGCGGAAGCCUGAUGCAGAAACGCCGCGUGCGGGAUGACGGGCUUCGGGUGGUGAACCGAUUUCGCAGGUGACGAAGCGUGAGUGACGGUAAUGGGUAAAGAAGCACCGGCUAACUACGUG